RNAcentral lists this ribosomal RNA (294 nucleotides) under uncultured bacterium. RNAcentral describes it as "partial 16S ribosomal RNA". It matches the Rfam family "Bacterial small subunit ribosomal RNA", at positions 335 to 627 of the family's 1533-position model. The record is from RNAcentral.
UGCCUACGGGGGGCAGCAGUGAGGAAUAUUGGUCAAUGGGCGCGAGCCUGAACCAGCCAAGUCGCGUGAGGGAGGACGGCCCUACGGGUUGUAAACCUCUUUUGCCGGGGAGCAACGGGCGUCACGUGUGGCGCCACUGAGAGUACCCGGAGAAAAAGCAUCGGCUAACUCCGUGCCAGCAGCCGCGGUAAUACGGAGGAUGCGAGCGUUAUCCGGAUUUAUUGGGUUUAAAGGGUGCGCAGGCGGGAGAUCAAGUCAGCGGUAAAAUGUCGGGGCUCAACCCCGGCCGGCCGU